UCAGGAUGUGUACCUGGAUUUUUGAAUAACAAAGCAAAUAACAAAAGUCAGCAGCAACUCGCAAAUCAAUCAACCAAACACAAGUGCUCAGCCCAGAAAUGGAAUCAAAGCCCAGGAUAAGUUGAAAACCAACAUAAAUAGCAAAUAACCAAGCCAAUGGACUCAAAUGCACCUAAUUUCAACCCCCCAGUGGCUAUGAAAUCCCUUUCAAAGCACCUCACUACUUCAAUAAACCCAAAACUUGACUGAAACCGACCAGAAAUUCUUUGGACUAUCAAAUCACUUGGAGAUGAACUGAAAACUUCAAUGGAACGGUAAUUUCUUCAUUUUUUUUAGUUUUUCUAGAGAUAUAUACUAUUUUUGGAUUUUUUUAUUUUAAUUCAAAAGGCUAAAUCUGAAACUGAAAAAUGAAGGAGAAAGAGUUGUGUAUGAGAUUUUUAGGGCUGAAAGUUGAAGACCUUUCCUCAAGGCACUUGAUACUCUUUU
This 486-nucleotide long non-coding RNA is filed under the name Nicotiana benthamiana. RNAcentral's name for it is "long non-coding RNA (NBEN_LNC023972)". The record is from RNAcentral. Lineage: Eukaryota; Viridiplantae; Streptophyta; Magnoliopsida; Solanales; Solanaceae.